RNAcentral lists this ribosomal RNA (119 nucleotides) under Pteropus alecto (black flying fox). The record is from RNAcentral. Lineage: Eukaryota; Metazoa; Chordata; Mammalia; Chiroptera; Pteropodidae.
GUCUAUGGCCAUGCCAUCCUGAACAAGCCCGAUCCUGUCUGAUCUCAGAAGCUAAGCAGGGUCGGGCCUGGUUAGUACUUGGAUGGGGUCCCACCUAGGAAGACCAGGUGCUGUAGGCG